ACGGGAGGCAGCAGUGGGGAAUAUUGCACAAUGGGGGAAACCCUGAUGCAGCGACGCCGCGUGAGUGAAGAAGUAUUUCGGUAUGUGAAGCUCUAUCAGCAGGGAAGAAAAUGACGGUACCUGACUAAGAAGCACCGGCUAAAUACGUGCCAGCAGCCGCGGUAAUACGUAUGGUGCAAGCGUUAUCCGGAUUUACUGGGUGUAAAGGGAGCGUAGACGGCGAGGCAAGUCUGAAGUGAAAUGCGGGGGCUCAACCCCUGAACUGCUUUGGAAACUGUUUUGCUAGAGUGCAGGAGAGGUAAGUGGAAUUCCUAGUGUAGCGGUGAAAUGCGUAGAUAUUAGGAGGAACACCGGCGGCGAAGGCGGCUUACUGGACUGUAACUGACGUUGAGGCUCGAAAGCGUGGGGAGCAAACAGGAUUAGAUACCCUGGUA
Molecule: ribosomal RNA, 434 nt
Filed under: uncultured Lachnospiraceae bacterium
Lineage: Bacteria; Bacillati; Bacillota; Clostridia; Lachnospirales; Lachnospiraceae
Description: partial 16S ribosomal RNA
Rfam family: Bacterial small subunit ribosomal RNA
Source: RNAcentral